GUGGGUGUAGCUCAGUUGGUUAGAGCACCAGGUUGUGGCCCUGGGGGCCGGGGGUUCAAAUCCCCUCACUCACCCCA
This 77-nucleotide transfer RNA is filed under the name bacterium. Its description in RNAcentral is "tRNA-His". It matches the Rfam family "tRNA". Rfam says of the family: Transfer RNA (tRNA) molecules are approximately 80 nucleotides in length. The record is from RNAcentral.